RNAcentral lists this ribosomal RNA (468 nucleotides) under uncultured bacterium. Its description in RNAcentral is "partial 16S ribosomal RNA". It matches the Rfam family "Bacterial small subunit ribosomal RNA", at positions 28 to 507 of the family's 1533-position model. The record is from RNAcentral.
GACGAACGCUGGCGGCGUGCUUAACACAUGCAAGUCGAACGGAAAGGCCCUGCUUUUGUGGGGUGCUCGAGUGGCGAACGGGUGAGUAACACGUGAGUAACCUGCCCUUGACUUUGGGAUAACUUCAGGAAACUGGGGCUAAUACCGGAUAGGAGCUCCUGCUGCAUGGUGGGGGUUGGAAAGUUUCGGCGGUUGGGGAUGGACUCGCGGCUUAUCAGCUUGUUGGUGGGGUAGUGGCUUACCAAGGCUUUGACGGGUAGCCGGCCUGAGAGGGUGACCGGCCACAUUGGGACUGAGAUACGGCCCAGACUCCUACGGGAGGCAGCAGUGGAGAAUAUUGCACAAUGGGAGGAAGCCUGAUGCAGCAACGCCGCGUGCGGGAUGACGGCCUUCGGGUUGUAAACCGCUGUCGCCUGUGACGAAGCGUGAGUGACGGUAAUGGGUAAAGAAGCACCGGCUAACUACGUG